CCCUUAGAUGUCCUGGGCCGCACGCGCGUUACACUGAUGCAUUCAACGAGCCUAUAACCUUGGCCGAGAGGCCUGGGCAAUCUUGUUAACGUGCAUCGUGAUAGGGAUAGAUUAUUGAAAUUAUUAAUCUUGAACGAGGAAUUCCUAGUAAACGCAGAUCAUCAAUCUGCAUUGAUUACGUCCCUGCCCUUUGUACACACCGCCCGUCGCACCUACCGAUUGGAUGGUCCGGUGAAGCCUCGGGAUUGUGGUUCUUGCCGCUUUAUUGUGGCGUGACCGCGAGAACUUGUCUAAACCUUAUCAUCUAGAGGAAGGUGAAGGCGUAACA
RNAcentral lists this ribosomal RNA (328 nucleotides) under uncultured eukaryote. Its description in RNAcentral is "partial 18S ribosomal RNA". It matches the Rfam family "Eukaryotic small subunit ribosomal RNA", at positions 1470 to 1796 of the family's 1831-position model. The record is from RNAcentral.